CAAUAGCGUAUAUUAAAGUUGUUGCAGUUAAAAAGCUCGUAGUCGUAUUUCUAGAUUGAGCAUAUUGUCCGGGCGUAUUGCGUCUGUGUACAUUGUUGUCUCGAUCUAUCCUUGUGGAGAGCUAGUUUGGCCUUAAUCGGUUGAGCUAGGGAUCUGCAUCAUUUACUGUGAAAAAAUUAGAGUGUUUAAAGCAGGCAUUUGCUGUGAAUACAUUAGCAUGGAAUAAUAAGAUAGGACUUUGGUACUAUUUUGUUGGUUUGCAUACCAAGGUAAUGAUGAAUAGGGACAGUUGGGGGUAUUCAUAUUUAGUUGUCAGAGGUGAAAUUCUUGGAUUUACGAAAGAUGAACUUAUGCGAAAGCAUUUACCAAGGAUGUUUUCAUUGA
Molecule: ribosomal RNA, 384 nt
Filed under: uncultured eukaryote
Lineage: Eukaryota
Description: partial 18S ribosomal RNA
Rfam family: Eukaryotic small subunit ribosomal RNA
Source: RNAcentral